UACGUAGGGCGCAAGCGUUGUCCGGAAUUAUUGGGCGUAAAGAGCUCGUAGGUGGCUUGUCACGUCUGCCGUGAAAGCCCAUGGCUUAACUGUGGGUCUGCGGUGGAUACGGGCUGGCUAGAGGUAGGUAGGGCAAGCGGAGUUCCUGGUGUAGCGGUGAAAUGCGCAGAUAUCAGGAGGAACACCGGUGGCGAAGGCGCCACUCUGGGCCGGAACUGACGCUGAGGAGCGAAAGCGUGGGUAGCAAACAGG
This 252-nucleotide ribosomal RNA is filed under the name uncultured bacterium. RNAcentral's name for it is "partial 16S ribosomal RNA". It matches the Rfam family "Bacterial small subunit ribosomal RNA", at positions 524 to 776 of the family's 1533-position model. The record is from RNAcentral.